AGAUUGAACGCUGGCGGCAUGCCUAACACAUGCAAGUCGAACGGGAGUAGCAAUACUCUAGUGGCGGACGGGGUGAGGAAUACGUAGGAAUUUGCCCUUAAGUGGGGGAUAACCCGGGGAAACCCGGAUUAAUACCGCAUGACCUCGAAAGAGCAAAGUGGGGGAUCGCAAGACCUCACGCUUUUGGAGAAGCCUACGUCGGAUUAGCUAGUUGGUGAGGUAAUGGCUCACCAAGGCGACGAUCCGUAACUGGUCUGAGAGGAUGAUCAGUCACACCGGAACUGAGACACGGUCCGGACUCCUACGGGAGGCAGCAGGUGGGGAAUAGUGGACAAGUGGGCGCAAGCCUAGAUACCAGCAAUCGCCGACGUGGUGUGAAGAACGGCCGUUACGGGUACUAAAGGCUAACGUUUAACGGUAGGUAAGAAAAACGU
RNAcentral lists this ribosomal RNA (434 nucleotides) under uncultured soil bacterium. RNAcentral's name for it is "bacterial SSU rRNA". It matches the Rfam family "Bacterial small subunit ribosomal RNA", at positions 26 to 455 of the family's 1533-position model. The record is from RNAcentral.